GUGCUGCCUCUAGCUUCAGACGCCGAGCCAGUUAGAGGUAGCCUGGAAGACUGGAUUUCUUUAGAUUGUUGCCCCGUAUUCAGAUCCACCCAGCACCAGGCUCAGUGGGAGCAGGGUGACUGAGGGAUACUGGGCUGAACAUGAGUGACGAACCUUACCAGCUCCAGCUUAAGGGCUACAUAUGAGAGAGCACUUUUUACUGGAGACUGUCCCAAAGACGCUUCACAGAGUAACAGAGGCGGAUUAGUAGAUGAGCAAACACCAGACCUGAACCCAAAAUAUAGCAGCCCC
Long non-coding RNA from Conger conger (European conger), 291 nucleotides. RefSeq lists it as uncharacterized. The transcript has 3 exons. NCBI's taxonomy places the organism in Eukaryota, Metazoa, Chordata, Actinopteri, Anguilliformes, Congridae. The record is from RefSeq and is a predicted model, not a curated record.